UACGGGGGGAGCAAGCGUUGUUCGGAUUUACUGGGCGUAAAGGGCGCGUAGGCGGCCACCGCAAGUCGGUUGUGAAAUCUCUGGGCUUAACCCAGAAAGGUCAAUCGAUACUGCGGGGCUAGAGUGCAGAAGGGGCAACUGGAAUUCCUGGUGUAGCGGUGAAAUGCGCAGAUAUCAGGAGGAACACCUAUGGCGAAGGCAGCUCGCUGGGACGGUACUGACGCUGAGGCGCGAAAGCGUGGGGAGCGAACAGG
This 254-nucleotide ribosomal RNA is filed under the name uncultured bacterium. RNAcentral describes it as "partial 16S ribosomal RNA". It matches the Rfam family "Bacterial small subunit ribosomal RNA", at positions 524 to 776 of the family's 1533-position model. The record is from RNAcentral.